CUAAUCCUGGUCGGACAUCAGGAGGUUAGUGCAAUGGCAUAAGCCAGCUUGACUGCGAGCGUGACGGCGCGAGCAGGUGCGAAAGCAGGUCAUAGUGAUCCGGUGGUUCUGAAUGGAAGGGCCAUCGCUCAACGGAUAAAAGGUACUCCGGGGAUAACAGGCUGAUACCGCCCAAGAGUUCAUAUCGACGGCGGUGUUUGGCACCUCGAUGUCGGCUCAUCACAUCCUGGGGCUGAAGUAGGUCCCAAGGGUAUGGCUGUUCGCCAUUUAAAGUGGUACGCGAGCUGGGUUUAGAACGUCGUGAGACAGUUCGGUCCCUAUCUGCCGUGGGCGCUGGAGAACUGAGGGGGGCUGCUCCUAGUACGAGAGGACCGGAGUGGACGCAUCACUGGUGUUCGGGUUGUCAUGCCAAUGGCACUGCCCGGUAGCUAAAUGCGGAAGAGAUAAGUGCUGAAAGCAUCUAAGCACGAAACUUGCCCCGAGAUGAGUUCUCCCUGAGACUUAAAGUCUCCUGAAGGAACGUUGAAGACGACGACGUUGAUAGGCCGGGUGUGUAAGCGCAGCGAUGCGUUGAGCUAACCGGUACUAAUGAACCGUGAGGCUUAACCUUACAACGCCGAAG
This 622-nucleotide ribosomal RNA is filed under the name Salmonella enterica subsp. enterica serovar Bahati. RNAcentral describes it as "partial 23S ribosomal RNA". It matches the Rfam family "Bacterial large subunit ribosomal RNA", at positions 2321 to 2925 of the family's 2925-position model. The record is from RNAcentral. Lineage: Bacteria; Pseudomonadati; Pseudomonadota; Gammaproteobacteria; Enterobacterales; Enterobacteriaceae.